Molecule: small RNA, 27 nt
Filed under: Bombyx mori (domestic silkworm)
Lineage: Eukaryota; Metazoa; Arthropoda; Insecta; Lepidoptera; Bombycidae
Description: ovarian small RNA-23935
Source: RNAcentral
UAUGCCGUGAAAACGGUAGUCAGCUGG